RNAcentral lists this ribosomal RNA (207 nucleotides) under uncultured Defluviitoga sp. Its description in RNAcentral is "partial 16S ribosomal RNA". It matches the Rfam family "Bacterial small subunit ribosomal RNA", at positions 568 to 774 of the family's 1533-position model. Lineage: Bacteria; Thermotogati; Thermotogota; Thermotogae; Petrotogales; Petrotogaceae. The record is from RNAcentral.
GGCGUAGGCGGUAAAAGAAGUCAUCUGUGAAAACCUAUUGCUCAACGAUAGGCUAGCGGAUGAAACUGAAUUACUUGAGGGCACCAGAGGUAGACGGAAUUACCUGAGUAGGGGUGAAAUCCGCAGAUACGGGUAGGAACGCCGGUGGAGAAGUCGGUCUACUGGGGUGCACCAGACGCUGAGGCCCGAAAGCUAGGGGAGCAAACC